This 1424-nucleotide long non-coding RNA is filed under the name Fukomys damarensis (Damara mole-rat). Its description in RNAcentral is "lncRNA (ENSFDAG00000023347.1)". The record is from RNAcentral. Lineage: Eukaryota; Metazoa; Chordata; Mammalia; Rodentia; Bathyergidae.
GAAGAAAGCUCAUGUUCAUGGUACUCCCUCGGCAAGACAACAUCUGCUGAGGACAAUGUAAAGAACGCUAGCUCCUUAUUAACUUGGGCAGGCAUCCAGGUAUAGGGAAGAACCUGUUCCCUUUCAUGCACUCCCCUUGCAAGAAUUUAAUCUGUUCCCUGUUUUUCAAAAUAUCUUUUCAAUCAAUCUUAUUCUGUGAAUGAUGCAUCACCCCAUUCUCCCUGUGCUUCUUGCUGGCUAAUAAAAGUGGGUCCACCGGAGAGAUUGCUGAGUUUUCCACUGGAGGCAAACUUCUCCUUGUCUCCUUGCAUCUUGAGUAUUGUCUUUGUCUCUGUUCCCUGUCUUUGGCAGGUAUCCCAGGAUCUGAACAACAGUACAGAUUACAUAAGCCAUGCACUCACCUCAGAUACAUCACAGCAAUAUCCAUGGAGCCUUGGGAGCCUUGGGUGUAGAGGGGUGGAUGAUUUAGGAAGUGCCAUGGUACCAUGGGAGGACUUUACUUUAAACGCAAUAGAACAAAAGAAUGCAGAAAGGCAUGAGCAGUGGACAGAGGUGGGAGAAGCUCUUUAGAGCUGAUCCAAAUGAAAGUGGCUAGUGUGUGAGUCUGCUGAAUCCUGCAAAGCUGUGCCUGAGGCCUUGCAUGUUCCAUCAGGAUCUAAGCAAUAGGGUAGGUAACCCUAAUAAUAUCUAACUUUGUAAAGUACCUGCUUUACAUGACCGUGCAAGUUUACCUGCUUUUACAUGAAUUUUAUCUCAUUUAAUUUUACACCAGAUGAAAGAAUAACUCAAUGAAGUCCCCAAAAUCUGAUAAUUUAGUGCUAAGCCUGUGUCCUCCUCUACCUGUGCCCGGCUGCCCUUUGCUGACCUCCUUGCCACUGAGUGUCAGUAGCCUCUGAUUCCUUCCCCUGCCUACUCCUUUCAGUCCUGAAGCUUGCUUGGUUAUUAUUUCUAGCUCUUCUUGUACAUUUUGAAUUCCAAACUUCAAGUUCUUUAUCUCAGUUUUAUUCUCUGGACUAUGUUCCUCAGAUCAACCUACCAGAAAAGAUCCCCUGCUUCCCAACUUUGGAAACUACUCUCUGGUUCUUUGGCUCAUCUCUAAACCAGCUCCUUCAACAGGUGAAGUUGGACACCAACAUUUAUUUGUAUUUGGAAAAAAUAAAAUAAUAACACUUUCUAUACAUGUGUAUGAAGAACAAAUAAAUACCUGAGACUUAGACGAAUAAUUUGUUUGCCUUCAGAUAGUAUUUAUUUAGAGGCAUUGCUGUAAAGUUUACAAAUAGGCCCACUUAAUUUCAUCGUCUGUUGUUCACGUACUAAAAUAACGGCUUUGGGUUACUAAAUUGUAAGUGAAUAAGUUAGAAAGUUUAAAUCAGGCAGAGAUGUAGGAGGAUGGAUGACAAAUUAGAAGAUUGCCUUUUCCCAGG